RNAcentral lists this ribosomal RNA (498 nucleotides) under Fusarium sp. UASWS1554. Its description in RNAcentral is "eukaryotic LSU rRNA". The stretch from base 191 to 344 matches the Rfam family "5.8S ribosomal RNA". Lineage: Eukaryota; Fungi; Ascomycota; Sordariomycetes; Hypocreales; Nectriaceae. The record is from RNAcentral.
CGUAACAAGGUCUCCGUUGGUGAACCAGCGGAGGGAUCAUUACCGAGUUUACAACUCCCAAACCCCUGUGAACAUACCACUUGUUGCCUCGGCGGAUCAGCCCGCUCCCGGUAAAACGGGACGGCCCGCCAGAGGACCCCUAAACUCUGUUUCUAUAUGUAACUUCUGAGUAAAACCAUAAAUAAAUCAAAACUUUCAACAACGGAUCUCUUGGUUCUGGCAUCGAUGAAGAACGCAGCAAAAUGCGAUAAGUAAUGUGAAUUGCAGAAUUCAGUGAAUCAUCGAAUCUUUGAACGCACAUUGCGCCCGCCAGUAUUCUGGCGGGCAUGCCUGUUCGAGCGUCAUUUCAACCCUCAAGCACAGCUUGGUGUUGGGACUCGCGUUAAUUCGCGUUCCUCAAAUUGAUUGGCGGUCACGUCGAGCUUCCAUAGCGUAGUAGUAAAACCCUCGUUACUGGUAAUCGUCGCGGCCACGCCGUUAAACCCCAACUUCUGAAUG